This is a long non-coding RNA of Esox lucius (northern pike), 1348 nucleotides long. RefSeq lists it as uncharacterized. The transcript has 3 exons. The record is from RefSeq and is a predicted model, not a curated record. NCBI's taxonomy places the organism in Eukaryota, Metazoa, Chordata, Actinopteri, Esociformes, Esocidae.
CCCCCCCGCCCCCCAUAUGGCUACCGAAAGUAUGCUUUCAAGAGGGAACGAGAAGGCCCAGCGGCGCCUACCCUCUGACCCUCCCCUCCAUCCCGCCCUGAGACGCUCAGGCGUGUGCACGAAUCUACCAGCUAACGUCUUGUUUGUAGCAUGUUGAUUUUUCACACGUGGAGACCAGUCCAGGACUGGUGACAGACCGGAAGGCCAUCCAUUCAUGACGCUCUCAGAUGAGUGGGACAAAUGAAAGAUCUGCAUCCUUGAGUUCCCGGAGGGAGAGCAUGACAGCAGCCGAGGGUGGCAUCAGAAUCUAGACACCAAGAACGUUCUCAUGACAGCACCCUUUAAGGACUCCAGGAACGUUCUCAUGACAGCACCCUUUAAGGAUUUCACGGAACGUUGUCAUAACGGCACCCUUUAAGGACUUCAAGAACGUUAUCAUGACAGCACCCUUUAAGGACUUCAUGGAACGUUGUCAUGACAGCACCCUUUAAGGACUCAAAGAACGUUCUUGUGACAGCACUGUAAGGGUCGGUUUAAACAUGACCUGUAAUGGCCCCUUAAACACUUUUCUAUAACAUGGUAUGUGAUCCUAAUGUAAGCAACAUAUAAAGCAUCCUUCCUCCCACUGAAGUGUAAAUGUGAGAACUGACAGAGAGGUUACCAAAAACAUAGAGCCUGCCUGGUGUUGAAUUGUCCCGUUAAUAAUAUGGCAUACAGGUUUAUUCUCUACACGCUGUGUUUCUGCUGGUGUUAUGUAGCAAAGAAUCCAAUCUAAUGAGCGUGAAUAUCACACAUUAAAUUAGGGGAUAAUUGAUAAUGUCAGUGGGUAUGUUUUUUAUUCUUUAUUUUGGUGCCCAGGCAUGGCAUAUACAUUUUUUUUUGUCUAUCCCAUUGAUUUAUUAGUUCAAUCUUCAGCCUGCUGGUGUAGCAUGCCCCAAAAAAAUAAUUUGACUUUUAGCCUGCCUGAUUUUAUCACCAGGCAGUGAAUUAGUCAAUUGACCAAUAUGCAAGUUCCUAAUCAGUUUGUUUUCACUUCCUACUCGGACCACUCCCAAAAUGCUCUUUGCAAGAGUAAGUUGAUUUGCCAUUGAAGCUUGGCACUCUUUUAUAGUGCCAUGCUGACUUGAAAAUCUGUCAUUUAAAAAAAUGAUUCUGCUAAAAAAUAUGCUGUGGAAUAAUUACUUGAAUGAACCAUGAAAGACUUGAGGGUAAGCACUUGUAUAUUUCUGCUCCGAAUUACUUUCCACAAUCUCGCUCAUUAAAAUGUACCAAUGGGAAUUGAAAUGAACUUGAGACAAAUAAUUGAUGGACCAAGUCUCAGAACCCCAUUAUUAGUCAUGCUUGUAUU